AGCGAACGCUGGCGGCAGGCCUAACACAUGCAAGUCGAACGGACCCUUCGGGGUUAGUGGCGGACGGGUGAGUAACACGUGGGAACGUGCCUUUAGGUUCGGAAUAGCUCCUGGAAACGGGUGGUAAUGCCGAAUGUGCCCUUCGGGGGAAAGAUUUAUCGCCUUUAGAGCGGCCCGCGUUAGAUUAGCUAGUUGGUGAG
This 200-nucleotide ribosomal RNA is filed under the name uncultured bacterium. Its description in RNAcentral is "partial 16S ribosomal RNA". It matches the Rfam family "Bacterial small subunit ribosomal RNA", at positions 29 to 256 of the family's 1533-position model. The record is from RNAcentral.